RNAcentral lists this ribosomal RNA (250 nucleotides) under uncultured bacterium. RNAcentral describes it as "partial 16S ribosomal RNA". It matches the Rfam family "Bacterial small subunit ribosomal RNA", at positions 524 to 773 of the family's 1533-position model. The record is from RNAcentral.
UACGGAGGGUGCAAGCAUUAAUCGGAUUUAUUGGGCGUAAAGGGCGCGUAGGCGGGAUUAUAAGUCAGAUGUGAAAUCCUGGGGCUCAACCUCAGAACUGCAUUUGAAACUAUAUUCCUAGAGGGUAGAAGGGGAAAACGGAAUUCCACAAGUAGCGGUGAAAUGCGUAGAUAUGUGGAAGAACACCGGUGGCGAAGGCGGUUUUCUAUUUUACUCCUGACGCUGAUGCGCGAAAGCAAGGGGAUCAAAC